This 360-nucleotide long non-coding RNA is filed under the name Manihot esculenta (cassava). Its description in RNAcentral is "long non-coding RNA (MESC_LNC010104)". Lineage: Eukaryota; Viridiplantae; Streptophyta; Magnoliopsida; Malpighiales; Euphorbiaceae. The record is from RNAcentral.
AGCAGUGUUAGCUGCUUCAGAGUCGGUUCGGAGCUAGUCAAGGUGAGUAGAACUUAACUCUUUUAAUAUUAAAGGAAUUGAAUGAUCAAAGCAUGUUCAUGCAUCAUGAAUACCAUGUUAUGUAAUAGGUUGUUGCAUUAGAGAUCACGAAUAUGUUGCAUUGCAUAAUUCGAUGUAUGAUGAUGCGGAUGAAUAUUGAAUGAUCCAUUAGCCCUCAGUACGAUGUGAUAUGACAUAAUAUGACAUGAUAUGACAUAUAUGGCAUGAUAUGAGAUGAAAAGACCAGGUGUGGCCGUAUCGCCCCUGGCAUAGAGUAUGAAAAGACCAGGUGUGGCCGUAUCGCCCCUGGCAUAGAGUAUG